ACAUUGCAGGUUCGUAUAUCUUGAAGAAAAAGGUUGAGCUUCCACAUCAAACAAGAGGUUGAGCUCUAGUAAACACAAAUAUUCCACCUGCAGCAGCACGCCCCAAAAGCAUAUUGGCAUCCAGAUAUGAAAGGUAAUAAAGCCCUCCAACUGAUCGCCUGCAAUUCAAUUUUCAUUCUUCACAAGAAUAUCUAAGAAGCAUGUGUAUAAUACAAGUUGAUUGUGAGAUCUAUGAAUGCAUGAUACAGACCUCCCUUGGUUUCUCACAGGAAUUUCAGCUUUGAAAGUACGAAUAAACUGCAAGAUCUGCACACAAACAUUUAUGCAACACACACAAAAGAAGAGGUGUAUUGAAGUGCAUGCACAUAGGUAUAAGCUAAUACAAAGUAGCAUCAAAGACAUGAAAAUAGUUUGUAUUGAUUUUUUUCAAUUUAUCUUGAAGUAGGAUAACCAAAUAUUUUCUGAACAUUCAAAGAUGAUAAAACUUCAAAAUCCAAGUUCGCUAGACAUUUGCUGAAUCUGGGACCCAGGUAUCAGAUGUCCAAGGUGGCAUGCAAACCUUGAAAUUCAAGAAUGCAAGCUGAAAUUAGGGAUGUAGCUUCUUUUACCUGUAGACUCAAAAAAGAACGUGGUAGUAUUGCUGGAGCUAUCAGAGCUUGGAGCUCCUCACUGAUGUUUAUACUUUGAAUUGAUAUCUGUGAUAUGGAAGUUGCAUCCUUCAGUUAAUACUUUGGUUAGUUAAUCUAGAAAUGUAUAAAGAGCAAGAAAAGACCAUUGAGAAUACUUUGUUAACAGGUGAUAAAACAUAAUUUAUGGUCUACUAACCCAACUUAAAUUGGUCAAUGUAGAUCUCAGUAUAUGGUUUAAAGCCCUACAUACAGGCCUGGAACCAAAAAAUUAGAGCCCAAUAUCAUUUGGGAGGAGCUUGAAUAAGAUCAUUAAGAUGAAGCUCUUUCACCUCAGCAUCACUUUCAGAUUGAAGAAAUGUCAGACUCAUCUGUUUAACAAGUCAAAACCAUUUAAGCAGGGAUAUUAAGUUUAUUGAAUUGCUUAUAAAUAGAGUUGAUUAUAACAAUGUAGGGAUUGAUUAUUAUUAUUAGAGAAAUACUAGAAGUUAGCAUCUAUUUCUCUCUCUCCUUGUUUUCUUAUAUUUUCUCAUCUAUUUUCUUCUCAUCUAAUUUGCUUCUUACCACAAUUUCUCUUCUAUGUACAAAGUGCUUCUGUUGUCCUACAGCAACAUUCCUCCAUUAGACAAGGCAUAGCCUUUGCAAGGGAAGUGAUUUGUAUAUCUGAUGCUGAACUUGUUGGUUUGACACAACAGAGCUUUUAAUCAAAGAUUGCAGAACUCUGCUUACACAAUCCUGACCUUGCUCUCUCUCCAACACUAUUCCUGAAGAGAACUUAUCUGUAGACUAUCUGAUUGAAUAUAAGUCAGACCGGAUUCAGAGGCGACCAUGGAAAGGAUCCCAUCAUUACUAGAAUGUGUUUCUAAUUGCCUUUUCUAGUCAUUUCCUCUAAAACAAUGGAGUAGACAAGUGGCACUUUUCCAUUGUCCCUAGUUUUAUAAUAAACUGGAC
Molecule: long non-coding RNA, 1577 nt
Filed under: Vitis vinifera (wine grape)
Lineage: Eukaryota; Viridiplantae; Streptophyta; Magnoliopsida; Vitales; Vitaceae
Description: long non-coding RNA (VVIN_LNC005195)
Source: RNAcentral